CGCCAUGGCGUACACUGAAAACGGCACGUAGGCAGCUACUUAACGACGCGCCCCCCACCACUCUGCUCCUUCUACUGUCCGCUGCACGUUACUUUGUAAUUGGGGAGUUUUUUAUGCCGGACCCUGUAGUUCAAGUAAUCUACCACAAGAAUGCGCUGUUCUACGCAUCCAAAUUGGUAGUACAAAUAAUGUACCACUGUACAACCUCGGUGAAACAUAAGGUGGUACACAAAUUGUACCACCAGACUUAAGAGUUAACAUCCACAUCUGACAGACAUGUGUUCUGCUUUGAAUACAUAUUCAAGAAGAAAAAUGAAAAAAAAUCAAUGAACAGAAUGCCUUAUUGAUUGAAAGGCAGUACACUUAUCUUUAGUUCCUUGUAGCUGUAACUGUGAGAGCAUGUUUUGGUAUUAAUUGAGGUUCUGAUACACAAGAGUGGCUGAAAACAAUGAGCUGCAUUACAGUACAAGCCUGUACUGAAUGUUUACUGCAGCUGUGAUAAAUAUUUAUCUUUUGUUCGUCCUCAACACUCCGUACAUGCAAGCCCAGACUAGGCUUGAGUGAGUGACGUUACAAUGACACUCUGAAGGCAGAAGUGGAACUUCUUUGCUUGUCUGCACUUGACGGAACUGUAGUACCCUUGUAGACAGAACAGAACUCGGACCGGACUCCAAAAGAACUCAUACCAGACACCAGCAGAACAGGAAACACUUGUCCCACAUGGUGCCUUGUAACUACGCGAGGAAUGGCUUACGGCUUCUUUCUCAUUGGUGCCCGAUGAUGAUAACGCUUAGACAUACAGCAUCCCUGUGGCAGUGGAUUGCCAAUUAGCUGCAGGUGAUUACCGAUGAUACCACUCAUGUCACCUGCAACAGUGUCACAAGCCCAUAUGCCAUGAGACACUGAGGAGAGGUAAUUUAAUCUAUGAUGCUGAUGCAAGGUCUGGUCAUUAGAAACAUUAUACUUCCAUCCCCCCUCUCAUUGCUGAGGAAAUACGAGCCACCACUUAGAUUUGAACCAACUUACCUCUGAAUCAAGUGCCACCACAGAGGCAUGUUUCUGUGAUAUUGUGGACGCCAGGGGGAGGGAAAUGACUGGUUGUAUUUAUUACAAUAAUUGCGUGGCUUUUUAACAUAGUUGAUUUUGAGGUAGCAGAGACUACACUAAGAGGUGAGGUUAUUAAUGUAGAUCCGGAGGGAAUGUUAGGAAGGCUGAUGUCGAAUCAUACUGCACCUUCUCCUUGUCAGUGUUUUCCAUACAAUCCUUUCCUCCCCGUUUCUACAGAGUGUCUCUUUGCUUCUUACCGUAUCAGUCCACCUAAUUUUCAACAUUCUUCUGUAACACCACAUCUCAAACUCUUCAUUUCUCUGCUGUUCUGGUUACAUCAUGCAUUAGCUUAACUAAUUUACAUUAAUUUAAUUUUAAAAUGAGAACGCAUGAGCCUUUACAAUCAUUUAUAAGUUCUCCUAAUAGAUUUAAGAUACGUGAAAUGUUUCAUUGUUACAGCCAACAACCAAUACAAGCUAAAUGGAUUGUGGCAUGGAAACACAAUGCCAAAUACAAUUAGUGUUCUGUCAUUUAUUCAUUUGCAACUUGCUACAGCAUCCUUGAGAUUAAAUGCUGAUCAUCACAAAGCGUCUUGCAAACUUGAAUGCACGCAGGGAACCUUUAAAUGGCCACAUUUAUGGGCAAAAUGGAAUCUUAGCUUUGAGACUAACAGAUACUGGCCCUGCAAAACUGAUGGUGGUAUUAAAAGAUACAAUCUUCUCUAAAUUUUACAACAUUUUUCUAGAAGUCAGCUUGGUCACUAACAAAAAUGCAUCCAUCAUCCACAAUGGUUGUCUGCUCCAAUUAAUUUUUAAAGUUCUCUUUCCAGUGAUUGCUUUCAGUUUCUACUCAAACCAAAUUUUAGUAAUCUUGCAUGAGCAGCUGCAUCAUUUUGGCAUCCAACAAGUGGCAUGGAAAAAUCAUUAUACAUGAAUUACAUGUUUGUUCUCUUUUUCAUGUCUCUAAUCUGUGGGAGGACGUAUUAAUCCACAAAUCUGGAGAUACUGUGUACGGGUGGAAGUUGUAUGUUAACCAGCAGAUAUCGGAGAAACCAGAGAAUUAUCCCAGUCCUCACACGCUGUGCUGUAAAAAGGACACUGGUGAAUGAGUUGGCGACACUUCAGCUGCUCGUUCCUCGCCAAUGCUGCCAUGUGGGUCAGAUGUCACAGUAAGCUGACAGCUAAGCCAGUCAUUUGCUAGCAAGAUACAGAUGUAAACAUUCCAUCAGAAGUGGAUGGGGGCACUUCCCUCAUCUUAAGAACAUGCCCACAUCUGGGGUUGCGGAGUGGCAAAACACAACAGCAAACCUUUAUAAUUUCGUGUACCAAUGGAACAAUGAGUCUACAUAGCAUAAUACAAAUGCAUACCAUCGAAAUUCUCCAGCUCUACAUAUACAACCAACAAUCUUCAAGACAUCUAAUGAGGACAAGAAGUGUACAUAACGUUGUUGAAAAUGAAAACCAUUGAAAUCUAAACAAACAACAAAAAGCUGUGAAAUAUACCAGUUCAUGUAAUACCUUAGUCAUUCUACCAUAAAUCCAAUGUAAUCUGAUUGACUACAUUCCGAUUUGUAUAACUAAUUUACUGUUUCAUUUACUUAUUUAUGUGCAUAUGUAAAUGAAAUUUUAAUUGACAUUCAUGGGAAUGUAUUGAAACAACAGUUUGUGUACAAACAAUUUUAAAUGAACAAUUGCACAUCGAAAAAUAUUUCAUUUUUAACUGUACUGAAAGGAAUAUAAACACUGAAGGCAAUUUAUAAAUGAAAUAGCUACAAGCCUUUGUGGGGGAAUUAAACAUUACAUGGACAGACUCAUUUUUACUUAAAUGUAACAUAGCAAAAAUGCCAGAAAGCACAAAAAUGUGCACUAAUCUAAUUUUUUUGCUAUAAAUAACUUCAUGCCUAAAUAACUUACAAUUACAUUCCACAAAAUUAAUGUACAUAAUUUCAUAAAUAACAUUUCAAAGAUAUAGUGGCAGUUGGCCUGUGGCUGACUGCAAUCAAUUAUAAUUGUUUUUUUUUUUGUUUUAAAAAGUAAGCGAAGAGCAUUCCUGCUUGGAUCUCUUUCUCACUUCUCUGUUAGCCGCUGCACUGAUAGGACACACUAUAGCUGCGUUCCUUGCUUAUUGGUAACUAACCUUUCUUUUGUGUAGACAAAUCGUAUGCAAGUGCCAUGUAUUAGCUUUAUAACCAUUUAUUAUUAAAUUAAUGUAUAUUAGUUAA
This 3268-nucleotide long non-coding RNA is filed under the name Schistocerca americana (American grasshopper). RNAcentral's name for it is "uncharacterized LOC124616144". The record is from RNAcentral. Lineage: Eukaryota; Metazoa; Arthropoda; Insecta; Orthoptera; Acrididae.